GAUGAAGAACGUAGCGAAAUGCGAUAAGUAAUGUGAAUUGCAGAAUUCAGUGAAUCAUCGAAUCUUUGAACGCACCUUGCGCCCUUUGGACAUUCCGAAGGGCAUGCCUGUUUGAGUAUCAUGAACACCUCAACUCUCACGGCUUGUCCGUGAUGAGCUUGGACUUUGGGGGUCUUGCCAGCCUGUGGUCGGCUCCUCUCAAAUGGAUCAGCUUGCCAGUGUUUGGUGGCAUCACAGGUGUGAUAACUAUCUGCGCUUGUGGUUUUCCAUCAGAUAACCUUCAGUGAUAUGGAGGUUCGCUGGAGCUCACAAAUGUCUCUCCUUAGUGAGGACAGCUCUUUGAACGUUUGAUCUCAAAUCAGGUAGGACUACCCGCUGAACUUAAGCAUAUCAAUAAGCGGAGGA
This 405-nucleotide unclassified non-coding RNA is filed under the name soil metagenome. Its description in RNAcentral is "partial contains 5.8S ribosomal RNA, internal transcribed spacer 2, and large subunit ribosomal RNA". The stretch from base 1 to 121 matches the Rfam family "5.8S ribosomal RNA", at positions 35 to 154 of the family's 154-position model. The record is from RNAcentral.